UAGGCCCGAAAUGUCAGCCUUCCUGCUUCUCUGAUGCUGCUUGGCCUGCUGUGUUCAUCCAGCUCUACACCUUGUUAUCUCAGAUUCUCCAGCAUCUGCAGUUCCUACUAUCUCUCGAUCAGAAACGACAGCUUUCCUGCUCCUCUGAUGCUAAUAAGGCGAAUAUAAAGGACAGGUUUGCAGACAAUCUAAUCAAGCCAAAUAUCACAUCAGGAGCAAAAUAACAUUGGCCUUUUAAUGUGCAGGAAGAAAGCACUGUUCACAAUGUGGAAAAAUCUCUCAUGUGCUCAGAAUGUGGACAAGGCUUCAGUGAAGCAUCUGCUCUGUCAAAGCACAAACGUACUCACUGCAGGGGGAGAUAUUCCUGUAGUGAUUGUGAGAAGCGAUUCAAUUCCUUAUCCAACCUGGAUUCUCAUCGGCGCUGUCCCUCUGAGGAGAGACCAUUCACCUGCUCUGUCUGUAGGAAGGGAUUCAUUUGGCCCUUCAGUCUUGCUGCGCACCAGCGAUUUCACACUGGGGAGAGACCGUUCACAUGCUCAGUGUGACAAAGACUUCAUUUAUUCAUCCAACUUGCUGACACACCAGCGAGUUCACGGUGAAGAGAGGCCAAUCACCUGCUUUGUGUGUGGGAAGGGAUUCCAAGAUUCAUCUGGCCUGUGGAAGUACGAGGUCAUUCACGCCAACGAGAAACCAUUCAAGUGCUCUGACUGUGGAAAGAGGUUUAAGCAAUCGUACCACCUGCAAGUACACCAACGCAUUCACUGGGGAGAAGCCAUUCAGCUGCCCAGAGUGUGGGAAGGGAUUUAGUCAGUACACUAAUUUGGUGGAACACCAGUGGAUUCAUAAGGAAGAGAAACCUGUUAAAUGUUGAGUGUGGAAAGGGGUUUACUCAUUCCUCACGCUUGAGAGUACAUCAGCUCAUUCGCACAGGGUAAAAACCAUUCAUUGUGUGUUUAUUUGGAUUCUGCUGCUGCUGCUGUUCAUCACCACCAGACUGAACUGGGUUUACUCUGACAGGGUUUAUUCCUGCUGGUCAUAAACAUCCCAACAACUGGAGUGGGAUUUAAUAUUCUAGAUAUGCCAAAGGUGGAGGGUUAAGGAUUAUUUUCUAAAAGGCUUACUUCCAUUAUAUGUAAGUGUUAGGGCUGCCCCUGACUGAACAGCACAAAAUGGCCAACGGCUGCCCAGGGCUAAUGCAGCAGAGCAUGGCUGACAGUAGUUUAGUGCUUGGGAACCUCCUUAAAUUCAAGGUCAGCAGUAGCUGUUGACACACAAGACGUAGAUAAUAACAUUUAAUUAAUAUGGCUUUCACAAGUAAAACAAUAGGCAAUCUGUAAAGAAAUAAUAACAAUCCCCCUUUGAUACAAUAGCACCUCAAGGUUGCAGCUGACUCAUAAGACAUGGAUAAGAACAUCUCACACUAAUUCGUUGUUCAAUAAUUAAUUAUAGAUCUACAUAUCAUUAAAGGAAAAGAUUCAAACCAGUUUCAGUCAGUAAAGGCAACCUCCUUAUCAUUACAGAGAAAUGAAGUAGAUUGAAUCAAAAAUCAAUUUUCUUUUGUAUUUCCUGCAAUGAUAACUGCCAAUUAAUUAGAUAAAUUUAACAAGGUGCAGCUGGCAAAUGUUACUUUAAAUACAGUAUUCAUUAUGAAAAGCCUCAAGAAAAAAGUGAGUCUGGAAAACCUCACAAAGGAUCGGGGUGGACUAUAAGCCUGUCCAUUGCUUUGUUUUACUGAAGCAAGCUGAAAUCGCAUAAGAUGCUAUACCGGAGAGUUGAUUUACUGAGGAACAACUCUGCUGACCAAUAGUAGUCAAAGGUGGGGGGGAAGGGGGCAUGUGCACUGUAAGCUGCAAGUGUAUAAAUUAAGACAUUCUGAAGCUCUUUGUGUGCCUUUUUGCUUUCUGAUGUAAGUGAACAGUAAUACACAAUAAAGGUCACAUGAAUCCA
Molecule: long non-coding RNA, 1947 nt
Organism: Rhincodon typus (whale shark)
Lineage: Eukaryota; Metazoa; Chordata; Chondrichthyes; Orectolobiformes; Rhincodontidae
Exons: 2
Source: RefSeq, a predicted model, not a curated record